CUACGGGUUGCUCCAGUCGAGAAUCUUCCGCAAUGCGCGAAAGCGUGACGGAGCGACGCCGCGUGCAGGAUGACACCCUUCGGGGCGUAAACUGCUUUUAUAGAGGAGAAAGCUUCGGCUGAUGUUACUCUAUGAAUAAGGGUCCGCCAAACUCGUGCCAGCAGCGGCGGUAAUACGAGUGACCCGAGCGUUAUCCGGAUUUAUUGGGCGUAAAGCGUCCGCAGGCGGUUUAUUAAGUCAUUAGUCAAAUCCUCCGGCUUAACCGGAGAACUGCUAAUGAAACUAAUUAACUAGAGGCAGGGAGAGGCAGAUGGAAUGGUAGGUGUAGGGGUAAAAUCCGUUAAUAUCUACUGGAACACCAAAGGCGAAAGCAAUCUGCUGGAACUGUCCUGACGCUCAGGGACGAAAGCGUGGGUAGCGAAUGGGAUUAGAUACCCGAGUAGUC
RNAcentral lists this ribosomal RNA (445 nucleotides) under uncultured bacterium. RNAcentral's name for it is "partial 16S ribosomal RNA". It matches the Rfam family "Bacterial small subunit ribosomal RNA", at positions 339 to 795 of the family's 1533-position model. The record is from RNAcentral.